This 320-nucleotide ribosomal RNA is filed under the name uncultured bacterium. RNAcentral describes it as "bacterial SSU rRNA". It matches the Rfam family "Bacterial small subunit ribosomal RNA", at positions 28 to 334 of the family's 1533-position model. The record is from RNAcentral.
GACGAACGCUGGCGGCGUGCUUAACACAUGCAAGUCGAACGGAGAACUUUCUUCGGAAUGUUCUUAGUGGCGAACGGGUGAGUAACGCGUAGGCAACCUGCCCUCUGGUUGGGGACAACAUUCCGAAAGGGAUGCUAAUACCGAAUGUGAUCCUUCUUUCGCGUGAAGGAAGGAUGAAAGAUGGCCUCUACUUGUAAGCUAUCGCCAGAAGAUGGGCCUGCGUCUGAUUAGCUAGUAGGUGGGGUAACGCUCACCUAGGCGAUGAUCAGUAGCCGGUCUGAGAGGAUGAACGGCCACAUUGGGACUGAGACACGGCCCAA